This 253-nucleotide ribosomal RNA is filed under the name uncultured bacterium. RNAcentral's name for it is "partial 16S ribosomal RNA". It matches the Rfam family "Bacterial small subunit ribosomal RNA", at positions 524 to 776 of the family's 1533-position model. The record is from RNAcentral.
UACGUAGGGAGCAAGCGUUGUCCGGAAUCAUUGGGCGUAAAGCGCGCGUAGGUGGCCUCAUAAGUCCGCUGUGAAAGUCAAAGGCUCAACCUUUGAAAGCCGGUGGAUACUGUGGGGCUAGAGUACGGAAGAGGCGAGUGGAAUUCCUGGUGUAGCGGUGGAAUGCGCAGAUAUCAGGAGGGACACCAAUAGCGAAGGCAGCUCGCUGGGACGUUACUGACACUGAGGCGCGAAAGCGUGGGGAGCGAACAGG